This 582-nucleotide non-coding RNA is filed under the name Pongo abelii (Sumatran orangutan). The record is from RNAcentral. Lineage: Eukaryota; Metazoa; Chordata; Mammalia; Primates; Hominidae.
GCCCGCAGCCCCGCGGCCCGGAACCCGGAGCCCAGAGGCCUUCGCAGCCCCCAGAGAGAGGCUGGGCGGCCGAAACCCGAGGGCCACCACUCCUCGUGGCUGUCCCUGGCCGGGGGUCGGGGCGUCUGGACUCCUCAGUAGGCUGUGAAGCAGGAUGGGGCCUGAUUGAGCUCAACCCCCCUAUCACCCGCCUCAAUGCAGAGCAACACUCACCCAUCGCUCGGCGCUGGCUGGAAAGAGAACCGCAAAGAUUCACGGCUGGGAGCCAGUGAACCUGAGGGAGGCCAUGGAGGAGACGAGGACUUCCCUCUCCUGCUGACCCAAAGGCCCAUCUUCCGAAUUCUGGAACCCCCUUUUCAUCAGGCGCUGCCCAUGUCGAUCAUCUUGAUGACAUCAUCAGCAGAGUUAACCAGAUGCUCCUGCAGCCCCACCACUUGCACCUGUUGCUUGCCGUCCUCCAGCACGCGCAGCUUGGCCUUCUUGUUGAGCAGGUCAAACAGCUGUGCCAGGCAGGGGGAAUGAGGCUAAGGCCACUGGGCACCCGGCACCCCACCCGACUGCUCCCUCCUACUAGCCUGCCCA